Molecule: small nuclear RNA, 104 nt
Organism: Dipodomys spectabilis (banner-tailed kangaroo rat)
Lineage: Eukaryota; Metazoa; Chordata; Mammalia; Rodentia; Heteromyidae
Source: RefSeq, a predicted model, not a curated record
GUGUUUGCUUGACAGCAUACAAACUAAAAUUGGAAUGAUAAAGAUUAGUAGCAUGGCCCCUACAACUGAGGGACACAUAAAUUUGUAAAGAGUGAUAUAUUUUU